GACGAACGCUGGCGGCGUGCUUAACACAUGCAAGUCGAACGGAACUCUUUGGAUCGAGACUUCGGUCAAGUGAAUCUGAGUUUAGUGGCGGACGGGUGAGUAACGCGUGAGGAACCUGCCUUUUCAGAGGGGGACAACAGUUGGAACGACUGCUAAUACCGGAUAGGUAAUCGAAAGGCAUCUUUCGAUUAUUAAAGAUGGGACACAUCGCUUGAGGAUGGAUCUGCGCUGCAUUAGCUAGUUGGUGAGGUAACGGCCCACCAAGGCAUCGAUGGGUAGGGGUUCUGAGAGGAAGGUCCCCCACACUGGAACUGAGACACGGUCCAGACUCCUACGGGAGGCAGCAGUGAGGAAUAUUGGUCAAUGGACGCAAGUCUGAACCAGCCAAGUAGCGUGCAGGACGACGGCCCUAUGGGUUGUAAACUGCUUUUAUGUGGGAAUAAAGUCAGGGACGUGUCCCUGUUUGCAUGGUACCACAGGAAUAAGGACCGGCUAAUUCCGUG
Molecule: ribosomal RNA, 503 nt
Filed under: uncultured bacterium
Lineage: Bacteria
Description: bacterial SSU rRNA
Rfam family: Bacterial small subunit ribosomal RNA
Source: RNAcentral